ACCUGGAACCGAGGAGAAGGGAGUCACCUGGCACCCCAAUGGGUGCCCAGCACACUCCAAAGCAGGAGCCGGGUGCAGACCAGAACACGACACAGGACUACCCGGGGGCAGCAGGCAGCUGGACGAAGUCCAUCGUCCCAACCAAGGGACACCUGAGAAGGCCUGCGCAUCAAUCUCCUUCAAGGAAAUGUACUGCAAGUUCUGUUUCCACGUGCGCAACGAUGACAUGGGGAAAACCACUGGCUUCCCACCAAAGCCCCUACUCCAUCAGGGGACCGAGCCCCAUGCGGCAGGCAGGCGUGGGUGGCGCAGCUGGGGUGUGCCUCCCUCUCCCAUCCCGCCGUCUGGCAGGGGGUGCAGAGCCCCCCCACAUGCCCUCUUCCAGGAGCUGCUGAGGCUGCACCAAGCAGAGAGGCACCCACCUCGCUGGCCAGCACCCAGUGCUCCCAAACCCCUGGAGGUUCAUCAGAUCACGAACUGGACGAGGAGAGCAAACCAGUCCUGUCCCUUUUCAAACUCUGAAAUCUGUGUCUAUAAUGCAAAGUCUUUUCAUGACCGCACCUGAAGAAUGCAUCAGGUGGAAGAUGGCCCGUGGCAAGAUGCCAUUCCAUCAACUUUGGCUUUCGGAGACAAGGAGAAUUCCAGGCCGCACCUGGGGACGGGUGAGCCACUGCCCACACGUGUCCGCACACAGGCUGGGUAGCAUCCUGUGGGCACGACUGCCCCGCACCUAACCUCUGGGAGGGUUUACUGUCGACUCGGCCAGCUCCGUGAAGACACGGGUACAACCCGGCGUUACCCGGCACCCAGCACACUCCUGGGGGAUCCAAUCACUGGCCCGUCAGAUGUCCUUGACCAUGAACCUGGGCUGCAGUGGAGGCACCCCAGGAGCAAGCUCGCUUUAAUAAAAUCCUCCCAGCCGGCCUUACAUAACCGUAAUCUCCAAAUUCGGGCAAGCUGCUCAUGCUGCUGGUCUUGCACAACAGGGGAUGGGCCAAAGCACCGAGGGGACCCAGACAGGACACGCUUCCAGUUCGAGAUGUCACUCUGGGAGGGGUGAGUAUGUCCCAGCCUCUGCGACCCAUAGAAACAAAGCACAAAGAGGAAAAGCCCAGACGGCACAAGGGAGGAGGUGGGAGACCAGCACAGAUAAGCUUCCAGCAGCUCCAGGGAGACCAGCACGAGCAUGGGGACAGACAGUGUGGAGCAGGGACAAAAGACUGGUCUGCACCUGGGGGCCGUGGCCACCUGGGGCUUCCGGCUGGCAGUCGGCAGGCAGGGAGGGCAGACGCCAAGCAGCUCAGAGUCAGGGUCAGCCCGGGGACGGCUGUGCUGGCGAGGACCCAUCAGAAAGGACAGAACACACCGUGGCUCAGACCAGCGCGGGGCGCCAUCCCAAACACCCUGGUCAGCAGUGUGACGGGCAGUGUGUGGGGGCCAUGUGGGCGGCCAGCCCCUCAGCCCUCCUAGGUGGGAGAGGAGCAGACCUCAGACCGAUAUGGAGAAAAUCAUCAACACCAUCCCCUACCCUAAAGAAUGUGGAAAAUGGGUUUUUAAAUAAAAAACAACCAGGGAACUCAGAAUUGCAUCCUGAAGGAAAAUCUGCAGCAUGGAACACAAAGACUAGAGAACUAAUUAGGAAGAAAGGAAAUUCCAAAAUAUUUCCAAUACACACCCUCAGAGAGAUGAGAGGAGUGUGGAAGCAAAAAGAAACAGGAGAACAGAAUGCUCACACAUACUAAACACACAGAGGCUAAAAUAAAACUCCCAACAGCAAGGCUGGAAAGCAUCAAGGGAGAGACAAGAUGCAUCAGGCGGUCAGUGUGGCAUGCCAUAAACCACGGCAGCCACGGGACAACGCUCCAGAGUUGAAGGAAAACGUGCCUGCUGACAAAAAACCCACUGAGGGCUACACAGAACGAAUGAAAGAUGACUCACACAAACUCGUGGUUUCAUAACCUCAGGUGUUUAAGGCCCCGAAAGUUCCCCAGGGAAAAAAAGUUUACUCACAAAGAACCUGAAUGGAAGAUCUCUAGAAUCAGUUACACUGGAUGCAGAAGCACAAGCAGGCCAUGCCUUCCAUCUUCCAAGUGGAGAAUUUUCGUGAAGUUAGAUUUCUAUUCAUACCCAAACCAGAGAAUAAGCAGAGGUUUAAAAUAACUACGUUUUAAAACAUUCGAGAUCUCUGGAUUUAUAACGUAUCUUGAGAAAGUUCCUUGAGGCUAAACCACAGCAAAAUGAGAAGAAAAUUAAACCAGAGGAAGAUCUCCUGCACAGUUUGGUGACCGCAGCUCACAUCCCUGUCUCAUGUGCGCAGGUUGCUAAGGCAGCAGAACUGAAACACUCCUCACACACACACAAAACCGUAACUACGUAUGGCAAAGGAGGCCACCAAACCUGCCAUGGUGAUCAUCCCAUGAUACACACGGACUUCAAAUCAGUACUCUACACACCCGAGCUAGUAACAGCAUUAUAUGUCAAUUAUAUCUUACUAAAACUGGGGGAGGGGGAAGAGGAAGGUGCAACAGAGAUCCCCAACAUACUGAAUUUCAUCUAGAAGUGUGGUGAAAGGAAGUUCCUGGAUGGGAGCUGUACAGAACUCAAACACAAUCGGCCCAGGUUGGAAUGAGAGGUGAAAGGACCUCAGGAAAGUGGUUUCUAGACAAUACACUGUACCAGAGAGUCUGGGUGGCUCUGAGGUUAUGAUGAAAGCAUACUAUUUUUUACAAGAAAAAGAAAGCAAGAAACACACCAGGAAAACAAGAAGCUACACAAGAAAUUUCCUGAUCCGAAACAGAAAAUAAUGGAGUAAAACCCUGAAAAAGCUUUCUUUUUCAAAGCAACAAGAACACUGGUGAAAACUGUCAAUAUGUAGUUUCCAAACUUUGGAAACUAACCAAAGGUUUGCAGGAAUCCAGAGAGCAUUUAUGCAAGCAACACAAGCUUUGUGACCUUCUAACUUACCCUAGACCCAUUCUCACUCUCCAGUCCCUUGGUAACCCACGCUCCCAGCACAGUAUGGCACACCUGAGAGAGCAGAAAGGGGCUGGGGCUCCUUCAAAACUCCAUUCCUAAAGAACUGUGAGUACCUGUCCUAUGUGACAGUUCCCUGGAAGAUCCCACCUGUUAGGCUGGUUUUGAAUGGACUCAGAAAAGCCUUUUCCCCAGAGAGUGUUUGCUGCAAACAAUUACAGGCAAGUAUUUUAAUUUCACUGUGGACUGCAAUACUGGAUAACAGCUGAGGCAAACAAAAAAAACGCUGGGGAAUACAAUGUUCAUGGAGGUUUUGAACAUUUGGGCCACGUGAAUGUGCAGGCCGUGUGCAAGCUUAGGAAAAAUCCUUAGGUGAGGCCCUAACCCCUCACCACCAGCUGACUUUGAGACUCUGCAUGAGCAGGAAAUGGAGUCUAUGGCAGACUUUUCAACUGCGAGGCUAAGUGUUAAAGGCAUGCCCCGAUAUGUACAUGGAGCUCCAUGGAAGAAAGAUUCACUGGUUCUAGGUGUUUAAGAAAGUCUGUCCAAUCAGGACACCUGGGUGGCUCAGUCGGUUGAGCGUCUGACUUUGGCGCAGGUCAUGAUCUCACAGUUUGCGGGUUCAAGCCCUGUAUCAGACUCUGUGCUGACCACUUGCUCAGAGCCUGGAGCCUGCUUCAGAUUCUGUGUCUCCUUCUCUCUCUGCCCCUCCCCUGCUCACGCUUUGUCUCACUCUGUUUCUCAAAAAUAAAUAAAUGUUAAAAAAAAAAAAA
Acinonyx jubatus (cheetah) is the source of this 3746-nucleotide long non-coding RNA. RefSeq lists it as uncharacterized. NCBI's taxonomy places the organism in Eukaryota, Metazoa, Chordata, Mammalia, Carnivora, Felidae. The transcript has 2 exons. The record is from RefSeq and is a predicted model, not a curated record.